Molecule: ribosomal RNA, 518 nt
Filed under: Leucon pallidus
Lineage: Eukaryota; Metazoa; Arthropoda; Malacostraca; Cumacea; Leuconidae
Description: partial 16S ribosomal RNA
Rfam family: Bacterial large subunit ribosomal RNA
Source: RNAcentral
CCUGUUUAUCAAAAACAUCUCUUUUAGUUAGUAUUAAAAGUCUCCCCUGCUCACUGUGUUUAAAGAGCUGCAGUACCCCAACUGUACUAAGGUAGCAUAGUAAUUUGUCCUUUAAUUGGGGACUUGAAUGAAUGGGCCGACGCAAAACUCUCUUUUCCUUGGGCUUUAAAAAUUUAGAUUUAGGUUAAAAUUCCUAGAUAUACUUAAUAGACGAUAAGACCCUAUAAAAUUUUACCUCAUUACACCCAAUUAGUUAUUAAACUUAGUGGAGGUUUCGCUGGGACGGCUAAAAUAUAGUACCUAUUUUCACUUCAACAGUAAUAUGUGAAUUUUCUGACCCGUUAAAGAUUGAAGAUCUAAUUACUUUAGGGGUAACAGCGUAAUUUUUCUUAGAGCCCUAAUCAAAAGAAGAGUUUACGACCUCGAUGUUGAAUUAGGGAAACUACGUUGGCGCAAAAGCUACUUAAGUAGAUCUGUUCGAUCUUUUAUCCCUUACAUGAUCUGAGUUCAAACCGGAG